AACGAACGCUGGCGGCAGGCCUAACACAUGCAAGUCGAGCGAGGACUUCGGUCCUAGCGGCGGACGGGUGAGUAACGCGUGGGAACGUGCCCUUUGCUUCGGAAUAGCCCUGGGAAACUGGGAGUAAUACCGGAUGAGCCCUUUGGGGGAAAGAUUUAUCGGCGAAGGAUCGACCCGCGUUGGAUUAGGUAGUUGGUGGGGUAAUGGCCUACCAAGCCGACGAUCCAUAGCUGGUUUGAGAGGAUGAUCAGCCACACUGGGACUGAGACACGGCCCAGACUCCUACGGGAGGCAGCAGUGGGGAAUCUUAGACAAUGGGGGAAACCCUGAUCUAGCCAUGCCGCGUGAGCGAUGAAGGCCUUAGGGUUGUAAAGCUCUUUCAGCUGGGAAGAUAAUGACGGUACCAGCAGAAGAAGCCCCGGCUAACUCCGUG
Molecule: ribosomal RNA, 433 nt
Filed under: uncultured bacterium
Lineage: Bacteria
Description: partial 16S ribosomal RNA
Rfam family: Bacterial small subunit ribosomal RNA
Source: RNAcentral